This 2456-nucleotide long non-coding RNA is filed under the name Pongo abelii (Sumatran orangutan). RNAcentral describes it as "lincRNA". Lineage: Eukaryota; Metazoa; Chordata; Mammalia; Primates; Hominidae. The record is from RNAcentral.
GGAGAUCUGCCCGCCUCAGCCUCCCAAAGUGCUGGGAUUAUAGGCAUGAGCCACCAUGCCCAGCCAGGAAAAUACAAUUUUAACUAUUAUGUUUAACUCUGUGAGUAUGCUCUUCUGCCCAAAAAUAAUGGUGGUGACCAGGAAUGGACACCUGCCUCAGACUGGGCCAGUCACAUUCUCUACUGAAAAUCUGAAAUUCCAACAAAAGGCAACGAGUUAGUUGCUACCAAUAUUUAACAACUACAAUGAAUGAUUCGUGUCUAUGUAAUUACAUUUUUUAAGUGAGUAAAUUUAGGGGCUGGUAAAACCCAGGAAGUAUGCAGUACGUCUGUUCUUACAUUGGGUUAAAAAGCAACAAAAGUGCAAAAUGGUAAAUACUCAUUACCUCUCACAGCCCAUCCCCAGGCCCCUCCUCCUAUGCCUUCCCAUGAGUCAGUCAUUAGAGGGUUAAUGUCUGUCACAAUGGUGACUGUACCCAUCAGCUCAUCUGCCUCAGUUCUGAUUAACUGGUAAUUGUGCUACUCCAGUUUUUCAACAUUUUGAAUAUUACCCCCGCCUGCUUCCAAAUAGUACUAGAAAGUCUUGCUUCACCCUCCUGUGUUGUGGAAUGAUGCAUGCCAGGAAGAGCUCAGGUUAAGACACUAAUUAAAUCUGAGAUUCAGCUUUACCAUGCACAGUCACUGAAUCACUUAGAGGUGGGGUUAGUAUUAACCCCAGAGCACUGAAGAGACUUGUGGCUUUACUUAGGCCAUGAGCACACCAUCUUUCACAUCUGUCCUCUCCAGUCUACACUGCACCACCUGGUACCUGGCACAGACUCUUGUCCCAUCUGAGUGCUCCUGGCUCCAGACUUUUCAAUGCAUUUUCCAUUUGGCUCCCAAUUUAACCAUCCUGAGUGCCUCACUGAUUAACCUAGGUGGUGCUGUGGCAGAAGAAGGACUCCAAGAAAGACUGGACCUUGUUAUCCAGUACACCUCGGCUUAGAUUCUUGCCUUGCCGCUGCACUAGCUGUGCAGCCUCAGACAAAUUGUGUAAUUGUAAAACCAGGAUUUCCUCUUAUUUAAAUUGGAGAUAUUAUCAUUAUCAUCACAUCAUCCCUUUGGGCCCAGAUCUCCUGUAAUCUGCAUGAAAUUUACUGCAUAUUGUUUAUCUGCUCUGCCAGAGUAAGGAUAUUGUUAUAUUCAUUUUUGCAUCAGUGCCUCACCUGAUUCUUGGUUAACAGUAGGUCUUUGGUAAAUAAAAUUCCCCCCAAGUUGAAUGGAAUCAAGUUUCAAACACUAAGGUAAGUUUCAAAUAUCCAAAUGUUGAAAAUGCAAUUGAUCCAGAUGUUUUUACAUCAGUGGAUUAUAUGCUGAAUUGAUUUCCUCCUUAGAGGAAAGUCAGUAGCCCUGAAACUUUCUACACAUUCCCAACAAUUUCUGUAAAACUUCCAAUGAUCUUAUUCUCUAUAACUAGAUAUGUGGGCCAAGAAUCCCAGCACGUUUGCCCCUUAACUUUGAAGCUGGUAAUAUGAAUUACCAGGGUGACCCCUCCCAGUAGAGCACAUGAUCGGCCACAGCUGUGCAUGUUUUUUAGUAUGACUGCACCAGGAUAGGGCUCCAAGCCACUGGGUGGAGCAAUGUGCUCUGGGGAGAAAGCUCAUGACAUUUCCCCUAUGAUUUCACAAAAGAAAAAAUCUUUUUCUUAUGAGUUGUUUCUGCUCAAUGUCAAUAGGAAAGGUCGUAGCUUAGCGUGUUUACAUACAGAUGCAUGCAUGAAUAUGUAGAAUAUCAGCCACUCCUACGGUGUGAGAGAAUUUAAAUUGCACCGGUCCUAAGAGUGAAGGAAAGCAGGCGUAGUUGCCUACUCGACCUCCACUUUAUUCUUUUCCCUUUAUAACAAUCCUAAUUUUAUUUGAGAUGACAAUGUAUACAGCUAGAAGACAAUUUCUCAGCCUCCCUUGGAGAGCUAGGUUCCAGCCAAUGAGAUGUAAACAGAAAUGUAUGCAAUGUUCAAGUAGGCUGCUUAAAAGAAGUUGACUCCACUUGAAAGGUGUGCUUGGUUUGGCCUGCCUUCUCCCUUCCUCUGGUUGAAUGUCAUCUUGAUGACUGGAGCUCCAGGAGCCAUCCUGGAAUUUGUGACCUUGAGGGUGGAAGCCACAGGCCAAUAUGAUAGAAGGAUGAGGAAAAGGUUGAGUACCAGAUGGCUGAGAAGCCGCUAUACCAGCCCUGGAUUCGAGUUUACACUGCUUCUGUGAAAGAAAAGUCUAUCACAAUAAAACCUUUUAUCUUGUUUAAACCACCUUAAAAAGUCAGUUUUCUUUAAUAUGCAGCCUACUAAUCCUAUCCAAACAAGGCUUGAAUAAGGUUUACUACAGUUCUUUUUUGUUGUAAUAGCAGAAAAAUUGGUAAUAAAUGCCCAUCAAUAGGAAAAUAAACUAUUAAUUUAACAAUACCAAAUAAAACUGUGCAGCAGUA